RNAcentral lists this unclassified non-coding RNA (158 nucleotides) under uncultured fungus. RNAcentral describes it as "partial contains 18S rRNA, ITS1 and 5.8S rRNA". The record is from RNAcentral. Lineage: Eukaryota; Fungi.
AGGUGAACCUGCGGAAGGAUCAUUAAAAAUUUAUAUCCGGGAAUUCGUUUCGUUUUCCCGUGAUAAUUUGUAUUCAAAUCCCACUCUUUAUAAAUAUAUUAAUUAUAUAAAACAAAAAUAAAAAAGAAAACUUUCAACAACGGAUCUCUUGGCUCUCG